Molecule: transfer RNA, 72 nt
Organism: Camelus ferus (Wild Bactrian camel)
Lineage: Eukaryota; Metazoa; Chordata; Mammalia; Artiodactyla; Camelidae
Rfam family: tRNA
About the family: Transfer RNA (tRNA) molecules are approximately 80 nucleotides in length. Their secondary structure includes four short double-helical elements and three loops (D, anti-codon, and T loops).
Source: Rfam
GAGGGCAUAGCUCAGUGGUAGAGCACAUACUUACUAUGCAUGAAGUCCUGGGUUCAAUCCCCAGUACUUCCA